RNAcentral lists this long non-coding RNA (346 nucleotides) under Capsella rubella. Its description in RNAcentral is "long non-coding RNA (CRUB_LNC002229)". The record is from RNAcentral. Lineage: Eukaryota; Viridiplantae; Streptophyta; Magnoliopsida; Brassicales; Brassicaceae.
AAAUACUUAAUGAGAAGCACAAAAGGUAUGUGGAGAUGGUGGUUAAUGUGACAAAGAUGUGUUUGACAGCAAAGAAGUAUGUGUUGAAAAUGAAGAAGGAGAAAGAAGAGGUGGAGAAGAAGCUUGAAGGUCAUGUAAGGUAAGAGGAAAGGGUGACGAUGAGAAGUUGAAGGAAACAUUGUUGGGACUAGGAUAAGAGAAAAGAAAAGCGAUAAGAUAGUUGUGUGUAUGGAUCAAACAACAUAUAUAGAGGUAAUUGUGAGUAUCUUGAAGAUAUUUUGUCCAAAAUGGUUAUGGCAAUAGGACAAAGACGACCACUACUAGCAAUACAACUAACUAGUUUUCU